This 952-nucleotide long non-coding RNA is filed under the name Dromaius novaehollandiae (emu). Its description in RNAcentral is "lncRNA (ENSDNVG00000017995.1)". Lineage: Eukaryota; Metazoa; Chordata; Aves; Casuariiformes; Dromaiidae. The record is from RNAcentral.
UUCCUUUCCAGUUCCACUAUCGUGAUCCUGUUUGGGCAUCUGCACGCRAGUGUUUGUUUUCCCUUCUGCCAGGGGACUCCUGCAUGUGCCUCCUUCCUUCCCCUCCCCGUGUGCUUCCUCUGCCCUCAUCACAAAAAUCACUUUUCGUUAGACAUGGGAAAGCCAUCAGCACCUUCCGUCGCUCAGAACACCGUUUGCUGGAGCAGCUCUCGGAGUUACCAUCUUUGGCUCUCCCUGAAUGGAUCAUUUGCAAGAAAAUUACAGUAUGUGUCUGUCUGAAGUACCAGCUAAUUGAACACUCAGAAGACAAUCAGUGAUGCACUCCUGGAAGUCAGGCUAUGGACCAAAGAAACCAAAAGAUUUAUUGCUUCAAGAAGGUGGACAAAUUGGAAAGAAUCCCAGGGCAAAGAGUGGGGAUGCCUGCUGAUGUAGAUAACAGUCUCUGAGGAAAGACUGAGAAAACUUGGUUAGAAAUGAAAGAGAAGUCCCCAAGGAAUCUCCAUAAUCAAAAGUAAGUUUGACAAACAUCUUUCAGGAAUGACAUAGAGAUAGUGCAUCAUUUCAGUAGGGUAUGGACUGAAUGACCACUUAAAAUCUUUUUCAGUUCUAUCUUUCUAUAUUUGCUGUUCUUGGACUUUGUGAAUGUGUUGUGAGUGACCUUCUGAAUCUGUUUUUUCCUUCUCUGAAGAAUGCUAUUAAAUCACAGACAGCAAUAACAUUGAAAUAUAUAAUGUCUGUAUGCUCACUUUUAUCUACCAGUCUCAUAAACUCUUAGAAAAGUAAAACUGGAUUUGCUAAUGAUCUGUUUUCCAUAAAGCCACCUUGAUGGGCAUUACUUCUACUUCCAGCCUUAGGCUGUUUAAUUCAUUCCUAAAUAAUCCCAUUUUUUGGCUGAGUAUCACACUAUCGUGGUCUUUCUGGUCACCCUUUGGAAUACUGGUGUACAAUUAGC